CCUACGGGAGGCUGCAGUGGGGGAUAUUGCACAAUGGGGGAAACCCUGAUGCAGCGACGCCGCGUGGGCGAAGAAGUAUUUCGGUAUGUAAAGCCCCAUCAGCAGGGAAGAAGAAAUGACGGUACCUGAGUAAGAAGCACCGGCAAAAUACGGGCCAGCAGCCGGGGUAAUACGGUGGGUGCAAGCGAUAUCCGGUUUUAGUGGGUGAAAGGGGAGCGCUGGCGGCACAGAAUGCCGGAGGUGAAAGCCCGCGGCCCAACCGCGGGACGGCAUUGAGAACGACCGGGCUGGAGUGGCGGGGAGGUAGGCGGAAGUCCGGGUGUGGCGGUGAAAGGCGUAGAGAUCCGGAGGAACACCGGUGGCGAGGGCGGCCUGCUGGACUGCGACUGACGUGGAGGCCCGAAAGCGUGGGGAGCAAACAGGAUUAGAUACCCGGUAGUC
This 441-nucleotide ribosomal RNA is filed under the name uncultured bacterium. RNAcentral's name for it is "partial 16S ribosomal RNA". It matches the Rfam family "Bacterial small subunit ribosomal RNA", at positions 338 to 795 of the family's 1533-position model. The record is from RNAcentral.